GUCAGGGGCUGGCUCCUUUUGGUGUCACUUCCGUAGGUGAACCUGCGGAAGGAUCAUUA
RNAcentral lists this ribosomal RNA (59 nucleotides) under Calogaya oblitterata. RNAcentral describes it as "[Caloplaca] arnoldii subsp. oblitterata partial 18S ribosomal RNA". Lineage: Eukaryota; Fungi; Ascomycota; Lecanoromycetes; Teloschistales; Teloschistaceae. The record is from RNAcentral.